GCGGGCUCGCGGCCUGCGAGGCCGGGGCCUGCGGGUUCGGGCUCUGCGGGUUCGAGGCCUGCGGGUUCGGGCUCUGCGGGGUCACG
This 86-nucleotide transfer RNA is filed under the name Streptomyces roseolus. RNAcentral's name for it is "tRNA-Pro". The record is from RNAcentral. Lineage: Bacteria; Bacillati; Actinomycetota; Actinomycetes; Kitasatosporales; Streptomycetaceae.